AUUGAACGCUGGCGGCAGGCCUAACACAUGCAAGUCGGGCGCGGGGCGGACGGGUGAGUAAUGUAUGGGGAUCAGCCUGAUGGAGGGGGAUAACUACUGGAAACGGUAGCUAAUACCGCAUACCAUCAGAUGAACCCAUAUGGGAUUAGCUAGUAGGUGAGGUAACGGCUUACCUAGGCCACGAUGCCCAGCUGGUAUGAGAGGAUGAUCAGCCACACUGGAACUGAGACACGGACCAGACUCCUACGGGAGGCAGCAGUGGGGAAUAUUGCACAAUGGGCGCAAGCCUGAUGCAGCCAUGCCGCGUGUAUGAAGAAGGCCUUCGGGUUGUAAAAUACUUUCAGUCGGGAGGCGUUACCUACAGAGGAAGCACCGGCUAACUCCGUGCCAGCAGCCGCGGUAAUUC
This 406-nucleotide ribosomal RNA is filed under the name uncultured bacterium. RNAcentral describes it as "partial 16S ribosomal RNA". It matches the Rfam family "Bacterial small subunit ribosomal RNA", at positions 30 to 526 of the family's 1533-position model. The record is from RNAcentral.